Molecule: ribosomal RNA, 253 nt
Filed under: uncultured bacterium
Lineage: Bacteria
Description: partial 16S ribosomal RNA
Rfam family: Bacterial small subunit ribosomal RNA
Source: RNAcentral
UACGUAGGGUCCGAGCGUUAAUCGGAAUUACUGGGCGUAAAGCGUGCGCAGGCGGUUAUGUAAGACAGGUGUGAAAUCCCCGGGCUUAACCUGGGAACUGCAUUUGUGACUGCAUAGCUAGAGUACGGUAGAGGGGGAUGGAAUUCCGCGUGUAGCAGUGAAAUGCGUAGAUAUGCGGAGGAACACCGAUGGCGAAGGCAAUCCCCUGGACCUGUACUGACGCUCAUGCACGAAAGCGUGGGGAGCAAACAGG